CGUCCACCUUCCUACCCUCUAUAACUCUAUACCCUUUUGUUUUGCUCGUUUAGGCCAUUCGUUUGUAGACUUCUAAUAUACAACUCACGAUUUAGGAAGUCUCUCCCCUUCCGAGUAUCUUACGGCAACAUUAUGCGGUGCAGAGUAUUCUACAAUACAGCCUCUCUGUCAAUAUUGUAUCAGACAUCAACAUCACUUUCAUUAAGAUAUCCUCCCUUUUUUCUCCUCUUCUGCAUUUCAGUUUUUUACAAUAAUCUUCUUCCUCUUCUUCAACAAAGUCACCUUCUCCUAUUUCUUCUUCCUUCGUCCACUUAUCCCCUGGCCUUUAGGUCUCCUUUUGAAAUCAUUCGGAAUCCUUUCGUAUUGGUGAAAAUCUCGUACACUAUUCGCAAGAGUGAAUUUCCCCUUAGUCGAAAGCUGGUGACAAAGGCAUUAUUUCUGAGAAUGGCAACAUUUAUGUGCAAAGAAAUAAUACAGAAGGAGGCCCAAAAUAUUGAAAUAGGCCUAAAUAAAACCUUUUUAAAAAGCUCACAAGAAACCAGAAUUUUCCUUAUGUCCUUAAAAUCGAAAAGAUGGUUACGCUCCAUAAUCUUUUGAUAUGCCUUGACAUGUCGCCGACAUCGAAGACAUUUUGCUGGUCCUAAAUGAUUCAAGUUAUAUGCAAAAGUCACUGAGGUUCUAAUAGUUUGGUGAAUUCUACAAAAAGAGUUUUUCCACUGCCUUCUAGAGUACUUCUUUACCAUUUUAUCCGCAAUAUAUUGUAAUAAGCUUUGUUAGAUUUCAUUUAAAAAGGAUUUCUAAUCGCUUUCCAGUUGAAAAACAGUUUUGAAAACAAACAGCCUCUUGGCUUCAUGCAUGUUACCUUUACACUUUCUUCCUCUAAGUCGCAACCAUAAACGAGUUUCAUAUAAAUUUCUAUUAAUAUACAUUCCUCAUCACAGUACAGCGCAUUUUAUGCAGUUUUUAAGGCUUUGAGGCUUUUCCCUCACUUAUUUAUUACAGGGAGACAAAGACGAAAUGAUCACAGUGACUGAAAAUAGCCUCUACCUGGCUGGCGAUUUAAAUCAGAGUUGACACAAGCUCAUAUAGGUCUGUGAACCAUCAAAGGUUAAUGCCAAGUGUAAUAAUUGAUCACAAAUGCAUGAGCGAAUCUUUAAUCGUAAGUCAUACCCUUCGGUUUACCACAGCGCCACUUGGAUUUCGACGUGAUACCAAUCGCUGUUCUGCAUUAAUUUUUACUAAGAAACCGCUAAUAAGAAACUGAAGAUGGCCUUUGAAAACAAGAUGGUCCUUGGACACAAUGGAACUUUCAGGUAGGAGGUUUGGUACCCAACUAUAUGAGCCAUUUUUCAAACAACAAGGUCAAGCGUAAAUUGUCGCACAGAAUUUUGCAGCAGGCAUCGUUAUUCAAAAGAUGACAGAAAAACAGAAUUCUCCUUUUUGAAUUCUAUAACCUUAACUUGCGCAUGAGCAAGAUAAAUGAACAAGAACAACACUGUUCAAGUGCCCAGAUGCUAUCGGGUGGCGAAGAAACGAUUUGUGGUUGCUGUAGAGCAGGGGAGCUAUAAUGGGAUGUGGUUACCCUAGAUAGAGAGUUAAUCGCUUUCAAAACAAACAAGAACAAGGAAAAUCUGAAGAGACCACAAUGAAAUGUUACGCGCGCGAUAAUGAUGCGAUUCUUGACGGCAAAAUUUAAAAUAUUUUGCACCAUGUAUACAUUAUGGCCUAAAGCAUUGCAAAAGGAUCUGGUUAGCCAAAUUAAAUAAAAUUGAUAAGACAUAAACCAGUAGAAUGGUUGGUGAGAUAGCUAUUUCAUCUCAACCAAAAGGAAAACAAGAAUAUUGAACUGAUCAGUACAACAUGUUCCGAUACCUAAGAAAAGGGAGUUGGAGAGGAUGGGUACAGUUUCAGUGAAUAAUUCACUAAAGAUAAAAAUGAGAUUGGCUGGUCACUGUGUGAGAGAAAAAAAGCCAAUGUGCAUCGGAGCUAAUGUUAUGGAUGCUGAUAAAAAUGAUUGGGGUGGAACUGCAAGUAGAGGGGAACUUACUGAAGCUGAUGUGGUUCCAUGGUACAGGACAGAAAAACAUCAAAGAUCUAUUUAAUGCAGUUGGUGAAAGAGAAGAGAAGAAGAAUCUAUGGACGGGCCUAUGAAACAUAACCCAAGUAAGUUUCAAGGAAACAGAAUAAUAAAAAUCGAGGGAAAUGCGAGUCUACCAUCAUACCGUUCUACUUUCUGUAUGUAAACAUGUACUAUGGCCCCUUGAAUGCAAAGGAGUCUGGAACGAGACGUAGGUUUGAAAUCUAAACAUAUUAUUUUUGUUCUAAUUUGUUUUCCUCUAUGUCACUUCAUUUCAAACUUUUCAAACGCAAUACCCAAGUUUGAAGUUACAAACGUAAAAUACUACUGUUAUUUAAACCUAACCAAAAUCAUUACAGAAACUCCUUAAGGUAGCUCUGCCAAUAUCCAUAAGAGUCAACUGAAUUAUGGAUAACAUGGUUAGAGUCUACGUAUAUAACAGUUUGGAUUCAUUGCUACUUUAAACUUUAAGAAGUACCACGCUAAAAAAUGGUAAGUUUGAUAGCAAAAUGAGACUUAUUUACACGAAAGUACACGAAUACACGAAAACUGGGAACAGUUGCCUCUAUCGUGAAAAAUAAGUCUCUAACCAUACGUCUCCAGUAGAAUUUGGUCAUUUCUUUUAAGGUCAUACGAAAAAUGCUAGCUUGAACGCAUUUAUUCUACCCUUUACGAAAACUCUUCCUGACAUAAAGUUCUUUGUCUUUUAACUACCUCCGCUUAUUAGAUCAUUAAAUAAUAACAUAUGUUCAAUAGGUAGGUGCGUAUAGGCAAGCAAAAUAUCUAAGAAAAAGGUGUUAUUGAUUGAAUUGUUCAAAACACUCUCGCUAGAAUUUGAAAUUAAUUGAAUCUCAAUAUUCUUCAAAAGAAAUGCAUGAACUAGUGACCUGAAAUUGGCUUCAUGAAUGCAGCAUUAUACACUUUCAAAGACAAGCUAUCACAUAAGUUCCUGCCAUGGAGAAAAAGGAACGUCAAUACAAUGCGCGCUUCCCUCUCGGAAGGAGCAGCAACCUUAAUAGUGGUCGGCCUCCUUGAAUGACGUCACCCAAUGAGUAACUGGAAAACUGCCUACUUCCUUGUUUGAAUAACUUACAAAUGUUUAUUGCCUAUUCGAUCAGGAAUUAUGCCUCUAAUUAAAACACAGGAGCGACACAUCUGAAAAGACUAUGGUUUGACGGCAACGCAAUGUAAUCAAAAGAUCAUCGUCCAAUAAAAUAUGGACGGCGAAUUUCUAACGUACGAAAAAAAUUUUUUGAUUGUAUAUCAAGUGAAACACUGAUUUCGUGAGAAAGACAAAGUGCAAGUUGUUAAUGAGUUUCAAACAAGUUGUUCAGUGUGGGGAUACUAUGGGGUGACCUCACCUCUCCUAAAUAUCAGGAAAAAUCAAGACUAAAAUCUCAUACAACAUAGAUUUUUGUGUUUUAAAAAUCACCCCCUACCUAAUUGGUCAGAAGCUUGUGUCUGAGAAAGGAUAAAGUUAGUAAUAGGUUUAUGAGAUAACUUAUUUCAUAGUAGCUUACGAAAUGGUUGUUUACCAGCAUUUGAAGGGUGUGGUUUAAAAAAUGCCAAACUGGUUAGGAGCUCAGUAACUACUACGCAUGCUCUGUUAUUGCAAAGACGGGGGUGGUAUCAGAAGACAUUACGUUAUUAAUAUCUAACAAAGAAGCGCAAGUUGAUAAGGGCAAAUAAAGAGCAUCCUUCCUUCUAGCGUUGAAAAAUUCGUUAUUAUUGUAGUGCGCUUCGGCCGUAGGUUUUCCCGAGUGAAACACCUCAAUCAGGAAAUGUCUUUUCUUCGUAAAUUUUAUUGCUAAUUUACACAUUAACGUCAUUUCAUGGCGCUAAUUAAAGUCACCUUUUCCUAGACGCAGUAGGAAUUAGAACUAAACAACAAAAGGGCUAACAAAGAAAGCAACAUUUAUUAUAUAAUGAAACUGCAGAAAAUGAAGAACCGCAACGAAUAUUGAAAAUGCUGGUAUUAAACACCUAAAGACACAAAAUUCUUCAAGUUUAUUAAAGCAUUUCUGCGUGAAAAGACCCUAUCUUUAAAGCCAGGUGAUAAGUCAAUAACAGAACACCAUUUGACGAUAUGUAUGGAUUUCUUUUGUAUAACUGCAAUGACUAAGCUGUGACUGACAUAAAAGCAUUUACAAAAUAUACUCUUCGACAAGCCUUGUCGUCAUCUUAACGCCUAAAUCUGUCACUCCUGUGGUAGCAGCGACUGUUAUUUCAUCUCAGAGUUUAAUAGCCCAGUUACAAUUAAAACUAUAUACAUGUACUAACUGAAGUGUAUAAACCGUCUUGCUUUCAUUAAAAUCACAGAAACAGUUCUAACUUCAAACUGCAAAGGUAUUUCUCAGAAGAAAAAAAUAGAUUUUCUUGUGUCAGACAUAGGACUAACAAAGACCAACAGCCAUUUCUGCAAAUUCAAGCGUAAUUAUCAUAAUGGUAACUGUUGUGAAAACUCCUUCUGAAUAAAUAAACACAAACAACUUUUAAAUGAGGCAGAUUCCAGGUCAGAAGAUAAAAGGCAACAUUUUGACUUGGGAGAAUCAUAAAUGUACAAAAUAGAGUUACGUGAUAAUGAUAAAAAUAUGAAUUUUAAAGACGAGCCCCCGACUUCCGGGGCAUCAGGGCAGCCCCUUGUAUUUUCCUUUAAUCCUUGAGGAGAAAACGCAGUUUUAAAGACUAGCAUAUCAUCCUUUUACAUAUAUUUAAUAUAAAAAGUGUCCCUUUUAAGCCUCAGUACUUCGCCGCAUGGAUAAACUUUCUUGGGAUCUAAUGAAGAUUAUAAAUUUACGAAAUGAGAUCAAAAUUCCCUGGGUCUACAGCAAAGACAUCUUGCUUGGCCUAAGAAUUAUUGAUUUAUUAAAUGGAAAUUUAUCAUGUGGGAAAUAUUUAUUAAGCUUCUUCAAAGUGCUUAUCAAGUGAAAUUCUUUGUUCAUUGGCAUUCAUGUGAGAUGAUAUCUUGAUGAUUGGAAUUUAAUUAUAAAAGGUCUGGUACCCAUAGCCUGUGUUCCACACCCUUUACCUUCGAGCUAGGUACCUAGAAUUUUACCCAGGCAUCAAAACUGGAUAUUCAAAAGUUAAAUUGUUCAUUUUUACAGGUGAAUCCGUGGCCAUGCAUAGAUCAACAAACUGUAGAUUCCAAUUACAAAUAUGAUUACGAACAGCUACAAUUAUUGCAGCAUCAAUCGAUGGAAAAGGUACAAAGGAAAUGGGCUUGAGUUUGUGAAGGUAGCACUGAACCCAUGGUUUCAAACGAAAACUGCUUAGAGUAUGUUUUAAAUCUUUAUCACUAUGACUGAACUCACUGAUUCACAGAGGAUGGGAGAAUAGACGUGUUGAGUUAGACUUAAACACCAAAGUUUAAACGAAAAGAAUCAAGAGUUAAAAAGCAUCAAUUUCUUCAAAGAUUACUUUGGAAAAACGUUUUCAAACAGAUCCGCAUAGGAUAGAAACUUAGAUGAAAGAAGAAAAAAGAUCCAUAUAGGAUGCAAGCAUGCAUGUGCAUUUGAGAAGAAGAUAGGACUGAAUAGAGUAAAAUGCGAGGACACAGAAUUUGUGGUCCGGGGGUAUUCAAUAACUGUCAACUCUGCACUGCAAAACUUGAACCUAAUUCAUAUAGGAUGGAAGCCUAAAUGCGUAAUCAAGAAAGCAUGGGAUACGAUAUGAGUAAAAGUUGUUAUCUAUCGAAUCAUAGUCAAGAUUACUUUGUUGAUCAGAACUGAGCAGAUCCACAUAGACUGCAAUGUUGGAUGCGUGCAGAGAAGCUUGCACUCACAAGUCAAAAGAAAAGGAUAAGGACGCAAGAAUCAUCAACUUCUAAAGCACUGUCAAUAAUUUUUUUGGACAAAUUAUGCUAAACAGAUUCACAUAGAUAGCAACAUGGAAGAUGUUAUGAAGUCAGGGGCGUAGCUUCCGGGGAAAAUGUGUAGAGGGAUGUGGCACCUCCUAAUCCUUCAUAAGUUAGUCGAGAAAUCUUCUGCUAGUCCACAAAAUCUUAAGUUGGUCGGUAAAAUCGCUUUUUAUUGGCAAAUGAAAUACCAUCAAAACCUUUCUUCAUAUAUGUCUUCAUCGGUAAAUUUACUCUUGAUGACCCCCACACACCUAGUCCGGUAGGCCAAGCUAUGCCAUUGAAGAAGAUAGCAUUAAAUCCAAAAAAGUAAAGUGUAAGCAAGUAUCAAAUCUCUAUAAAGAUAAAGUUUGACAAUCUAGACUAAAUUGAUAUCACACAGAACAUGAGGAUAUAAUCUAGUACGCGUUGGUAUAGACAAACAAGUAGAUCAAUGCCUUAAGCUAAUUAAUACUUCAUUUCUGAUGACAUGGGUGAAAGAGCUAUCUGCAGUAGUGUAAACUUUCCUGGUUCUUGCUUGAGUAGAAAUUAAUGAAGAAAUUGAUACCAUCACUCACAUCAAGAGCUGUCUGCAAAUUUGUUAAGGUUCAGGUCAAACCUGUUCAAGACGUGAGCCACUCACAAUCUCAAAUAUCAAAAUAUCAAAUAUUUUCUGUCAUUCGCUUUCGUACCGGAAUGACAAAACGUGAAACACUACUCAUGUCCAACUAAGAAUGCUCAAUGAAUACCAGCUAACUUAUUAUACAGUUUGCUGAAUGUGACACAGAGGCGAAGAAAUGGAUUCUUUUACUCCGGGAACGAUAUAUCUUAUCGAUAGCUUUAACAAAAUGCCAGGCUUUAGCUGCUACUGUUAUUGCCCCCCCCCCC
This is a non-coding RNA of Rhopilema esculentum, 6797 nucleotides long. Lineage: Eukaryota; Metazoa; Cnidaria; Scyphozoa; Rhizostomeae; Rhizostomatidae. The record is from RefSeq and is a predicted model, not a curated record.